AUGUUGGAAAACAAAACUAGCACAAGACUGCUGCUACAAUUAAAAGACUGCUCUUUUUCAUUUUUUGGCAACUACAUCAGGAUGCAAAUAUAUGCAAACCUUUAGAAAAAUAAAUAGAACAAAUUGGUAGUAAACUGUUAGUGUAUGCAAAUUCGCUGUGGGUAGAGGGGAAAAUUAUGUGAGAUUUUUUUUAAAUUAACGUGCUAGUAUAAAUGCAGUGUUGCAAAUAUUUUGGGAUAUCACCAUGAAAAAG
Molecule: unclassified non-coding RNA, 253 nt
Filed under: Hevea brasiliensis (rubber tree)
Lineage: Eukaryota; Viridiplantae; Streptophyta; Magnoliopsida; Malpighiales; Euphorbiaceae
Source: RNAcentral